This 517-nucleotide small RNA is filed under the name Pan troglodytes (chimpanzee). Its description in RNAcentral is "retained intron". The record is from RNAcentral. Lineage: Eukaryota; Metazoa; Chordata; Mammalia; Primates; Hominidae.
CUCUCGUGUCCCCAGGACACGCUAGGCUCCUGGCAGCGCUGUGUGACCACCUGUGAGACAGCCCUGAAGCAAGGGAAACGGGUCGCCAUCGACAACACAAACCCGGACGCUGCGAGCCGCGCCAGGUAGCGUGACCGUAGGUAGGGCCGUAGGGGGCCUGUGGCGGGGUGGGCGGGGCCUGCACAUCCAGCUCCUUCCCCCACAGGUACGUCCAGUGUGCCCGAGCCGCGGGCGUCCCCUGCCGCUGCUUCCUCUUCACCGCCACUCUGGAGCAGGCGCGCCACAACAACCGGUUUCGAGAGAUGACAGACUCCUCUCAUAUCCCCGUGUCAGACAUGGUCAUGUAUGGCUACAGGAAGCAGUUCGAGGCCCCAACGCCGGCGGAAGGCUUCUCUGCCAUCCUGGAGAUCCCGUUCCGGCUAUGGGUGGAGCCGAGGCUGGGGCGGCUGUACUGCCAGUUCUCCGAGGGCUGAGCCCCACCCAGCUCCCCUCCACAAUAAAUGCUGUUUCUCCUUGA